UACGAAGGGGGCUAGCGUUGCUCGGAAUCACUGGGCGUAAAGCGCACGUAGGCGGCUUACUAAGUCAGGGGUGAAAUCCUGGAGCUCAACUCCAGAACUGCCUUUGAUACUGGUGAGCUUGAGUCCGGAAGAGGUGAGUGGAAUUGCGAGUGUAGAGGUGAAAUUCGUAGAUAUUCGCAAGAACACCAGUGGCGAAGGCGGCUCACUGGUCCGGUACUGACGCUGAGGUGCGAAAGCGUGGGGAGCAAACAGG
RNAcentral lists this ribosomal RNA (253 nucleotides) under uncultured bacterium. Its description in RNAcentral is "partial 16S ribosomal RNA". It matches the Rfam family "Bacterial small subunit ribosomal RNA", at positions 524 to 776 of the family's 1533-position model. The record is from RNAcentral.